GAUGAACGCUGGCGGCGCGCCUAACACAUGCAAGUCGAACGGGAUCUAUUAGGAGCUUGCUCUUGGCAGAUCCAGUGGCGGACGGGUGAGUAACACGUGAGCAACCUGCCUUUCAGAGGGGGCUAACGUCCGGAAACGGACGCUAAUACCGCAUAACAUAUUCUUGUCGCAUGGCAGGGAUAUCACAGGAGCAAUCCGCGGAAAGAUGGGCUCGCGCCCGAUUAGAUAGUUGGCGGGGUAACGGCCCACCAAGUCUACGAUCGGUAGCCGGACUGAGAGGUUGAGCGGCCACAUUGGGACUGAGACACGGCCCAGACUCCUACGGGAGGCAGCAGUGGGGAAUAUUGCACAAUGGGGGAAACCCUGAUGCAGCGACGCCGCGUGAGUGAAGACGGCCCUCGGGUUGUAAAGCUCUGUGAUAGGGGACGAUAAUGACGGUACCCUGUCAGAAAGCCACGGCUAACUACGUGCCAGCAGCCGCAGUAAUAC
This 489-nucleotide ribosomal RNA is filed under the name uncultured bacterium. Its description in RNAcentral is "partial 16S ribosomal RNA". It matches the Rfam family "Bacterial small subunit ribosomal RNA", at positions 28 to 526 of the family's 1533-position model. The record is from RNAcentral.